UACGUAGGGACCAAGCGUUGUUCGGAUUUACUGGGCGUAAAGGGCGCGUAGGCGGCAAUUCAAGUCAGCUGUGAAAUCUCUGGGCUUAACCCAGAACGGCCAGCUGAUACUGCUUUGCUAGAGUGCAGAAGGGGCAAUCGGAAUUCUUGGUGUAGCGGUGAAAUGCGUAGAUAUCAAGAGGAACACCUGAGGUGAAGACGGGUUGCUGGGCUGACACUGACGCUGGAGGCGCGAAAGCGUGGGGAGCGAACCGG
This 254-nucleotide ribosomal RNA is filed under the name uncultured bacterium. RNAcentral's name for it is "partial 16S ribosomal RNA". It matches the Rfam family "Bacterial small subunit ribosomal RNA", at positions 524 to 776 of the family's 1533-position model. The record is from RNAcentral.